UGACUGUAGGGCUGGAGGUUGUGAUAGGGUUGGAGAGUUGACUGUAGGGCUGGAGGUUGUGAUAGGGUUGGAGAGUUGACUGUAGAGCUGGAGGUUGUGAUAGGGUUGGAGAGUUGGCUGGAGGUUGUGAUAGGGUUGGAGAGUUGGCUGCAGAGCUGGAGGUUGUGAUAGGGUUGGAGAGUUGACUGCAGGGCUGGAGGUUGUGUUAGGGUUGUAGAGUUGGCUGGAGGUUGUGAUAGGGUUGGAGAGUUGACUGCAGAGCGCAUUGUCCUCUCAUUCAUUGUCCUCUGAGAAAAAUACCUUCAUCCUGUUAUUUCAUGCUAGUUGGUUUGAGAGGAAAAAACAAUGAGGGAGACUUGAGUCUUGUGACAGGGAUAUGCUAAAACUACUUAAAGCCAUAUCCUGUUUUUAAUGCAUGUGGUUGUUUUGUAGGCUUGAUGUUUGCCCCCCUCUUCUCUGUAACCUCUGUGUUUACUUCCUCUAUGAGUUUACUUUAUUCUAGUGGAUUUGGUCCCAAAGUUGGGUUUCCUCUCAAAGUUUGUGUUUUGGUCCUGGCUAGGAAUCUGGGCCUGUGAGACAUUAUCUGGACUUACUCAGUUAGUAUGGGUUAGCAUCAGGGGUGCAUUUAUUAGUCGGAGUCUGUUGCAAAAAGUUUUGCAAUGAAACCUGUUUACUGUUUGGUUCCUAGAGUAAACCGGCAAAAUGGAACAAAACAGAGAGGACUACCUGAAUUUGUACAAUAGAAACUAGUUUUCAUUGAUAUAAGUUUUACAUUUGCAACGGAAUCCGACUGAUGAAUACACUCCAGCGUUUGAACUCCUUUGUGCUGUUUGUUAAGAGUCCUCAUCACUUCCGCUGCUUUUAUACAAUUUUAACUGAAGCUUGUGGCCACAAUGACAAAUAAUGAAACUUGAUGUAGGCCUAAUCAAUGUUUUACAUCCACAUUUGACAUUACAUGCUUGAUGACUGACGGUUGCCAUAGUUGUGCACUUUCAUGUGCUCUCGUCAAAACGCUAUGAGAUCUUGUGGAGGCUUCUGGAGAUGGCAUCUAGCUAGUCAAAACGCUAUGAGAUCUUGUGGAGGCUUCUGGAGAUGGCAUCUAGCUAGUCAAAACGCUAUGAGAUCUUGUGGAGGCUUCUGGAGAUAGCAUCUAGCUAGUCAAAACGCUAUGAGAUCUUGUGGAGGCUUCUGGAGAUAGCAUCUAGCUAGUCAAAAUGCUAUGAGAUCUUGUGGAGGCUUCUGGAGAUAGCAUCUAGCUAGUCAAAACGCUAUGAGAUCUUGUGGAGGCUUCUGGAGAUAGCAUCUAGCUAACCUUAAAUCCUUGGCACUGGUCAUCGUCGGUUGAUUUGUUCAAAUCCGUUAUUUCCUCAUGACAUGCUGCUGUUUGUUGAGGUGCUUGCCGUAUUCAGGACCAGUUGCGCCCCGUCUCUGUGCGACUAGAAACCAUGCAUGGGUUGUUGGUCUGUCUUGUCAGCUGUUUUGGCAGAGGAAACUGGGAAAGGGUGGUCAAGCUGCAUUCAGUCAAACCCUACAUAAAGAACCAGGGAUUUCAAGCAACCAGUUAGUCCAUGUCCUCUUCAGGUGUUCCUUUUUGUCAGUCACAUCCGUGCCCAGUAGUUGGUAUGUUUUGGCAAGUGUAGUUAAUGGAUUAGCUAAUGAUCUCUGUGUCGUGUACAGGUUUGAGAGGUGCUUGUACAACAACAAAAAAGAACAAACAUAUUUUAUAAAACAUCUUUUACCAACUGACAGUAGGGUUAAUCCUUUUUAUUUUAUUUUUAUAUGCAAAAUGUUAAGGGCUUUGGCACUCCAUCCACAGUAACCCGAAAUGACCCUUAUUUCAGUUGUGUUGAUUUAAUAAAUUAUGGACCAGUAAAAUGGUGCCCUGAGUGUUCCUCUGUCCUGUACUGUCUAACACUGACCUCAACCUACAGGGCAGUGAAGGGCCUUAAAAACCUGAUUCACCCAUUCACCUUCAGAUAGACACAUUGUAGCGGGAGGCAGAUGGGAACCUUUCUUCUAAUCAUACCUGGACAUUAGAAACCCCAGCUUACUUCAUUAAUCUAGCCUAUUGUAGAAGGGGUUUGUCCACAGACAUGCUUGGUUUAGAUGUUAUUGUUGUAAGGGCCUAUCUAUCCUGUUCUCUGUGCUUCCCUGCUCAGAUAUUGGAUGGCAUUUCCUUCAUAUUAUCCUCUUGUGGUCGGGAAAUGCUGCUCAACAACAUUGACAAGACAAAGGAGGCCUACUUAAAGAGAUAUAUUGGUCUAGUAGUUUGUCACAAAAACAGUUUUCAGAGAACUGUGGGACAAGCUUUCCCUGUUGUUGAACAAUCGGGUAACCAUUUUCUGGUUCAUUCAAUACAGCACAACCUGAAUAUUUUUCUGCUGCAAAAUCAAGUCCACCAUUCUCUUUUACAUACUUACCGAUAUAUGUAUACACAAAUGCAGUCCAUUCUGUUGCAUGUGUGUGUAUAAAACAUACAGUAUGGUUUAAUCCCUGACAUCGAAGGCUUAGAGACUUGUAUAAAUCAUCAAAAAUAAAUAAAAUGGUGCUAUUGGACCUCAUGUUUGGGCGGUCGCAGGUUUCGUGACUGGUCAUGCGGACUCAUCGAUCAUAUCCGACUUAUUAUCCUUGAUAUAUGCAGAUCUGUUCAACAGGUGUUUUUUUCCUACCAGUGUAAGUCAACACCCUGCAGGUUUGAAAGGACAAGAAGUCACUACUAAUCCCCCUCCCCCCAACUCCCUGCCUCAUGGCCUGGGGGUUAAAGGUAUAGUCUGUCGUUCAGUAGAUUGUUGCAUCAGAAGGGGAGAUUCGCUCCUGGGCUGGGACAGUAAAGAGUUGGAGUAAAAGGGGUCUAUCACCCCUCCUCUCCAGUCUCCCAUCGUAGGCCCCUUUCCCUGUCCAGCCCACGAUUGGAUGUUCCUCUUAGAAGCACACCCAUAACACUUCAUAUUUUACUCUUGUUAAAUCGUGAGUUUUUAUAGCUGUCCUGUAUCAUUUACUCAUCCAUGGAGUUGAUUAUCAGCUUAAAGGUCAUCUGACAGAAGGUUCUCACUCAACUCUGGCUCUUACAAACUCCCUCAAAGGAAGUCGUGCUUCUCAUGUAAUAUUGUCAUUCAUGUAGUCCUCUAUAACAGUGGUUUCUUUAAGCUGGACAUGAGUGUGGGUUUAGUUGGCAGGUUUAGUGAGCCAGAUGAGUGAUUGCUGAUAUCAUCAGGAUGCUCACAUAAUUAUUGUAUUUGACUUGGACAAUUCGUUGCCAUUCAUGAAUCACUCUUCCGUAUGACCGUAAGUGUAUCAUGUAACGUAAUUUUAACAUGGAAAUGACUGAACGUAAAGGUUCAUGAAUAUCAAUAAAUCUCAGUCAAAUGUGAUGUGAUUUUCCUGGUGUCCUUCAAAAGAUUAUUCUGACUGCUAAUUUGCAGUUAGUUUAAACACACCUCUGACCAUGGACGAGUGACCAUUGUUCAUACUGACACAACUGGGAUAAGGUGUAAAGACAGUGUCAUUUGGUUCCAUUGCCGGUUUAGCCCCUGCAUUCCUUGUAUGUGUACCGGUAUGCAUAUAUUUUUGUGGAAUACUUAAGCUCCUAUUACCUUUGUAUGUUCAACCGAACCAAAGAUGCCUCUGCCCCAUAGAGAUGUAUAGAGAUCAUAACAUGGAAGUAACCUGUUUUUGCAUGGACAUUUAGGGCUUCCUCCAUUUUAAAAUGGUCAACUGGGUGGAGAUUCCUAUGGUUUGGGAGUGAUCGACCAAUGAGCAGAGCAUUGUUUUCUUCUUCAAAUUAGUUUGUAAUUGGCUUUAAGCUAUAUGACUGCCAUCUAACGGCCACAAUAAAUUUAACACAAUUUGGUUCAAGACUCCAUCACUGCAGGUGGUAGUAAGUCACCAAUGUUUGCUUUACACUUUUUCAAACAUCAAAAGAAGAAAAAAAUGGACUACUUUAAAAUGGAGAAAGCCUCAAUGGCACUGUGCGUGCUGUCACAGACGCCAUAAUGGCAUAGAUACAACGUAGCGAUUUCUAUACAUCUCUAUGUUCUGGCCAAGUCCAAAUGCUGCUCUUCAGGCCUGGCUUCCUGUCCUUCCAAAAAACACCCCUGCAAGAGACAAAAUGUUAUUUUUUUCCGUCUGUUUCAGAUUUUUUUUAUCUGUUUUUUGUACGAUUUCUAACUUGUCUUUUGAUUUCUUUAGCAACCUCUUAUUCAAUGAAUUUAAUUGAUUGUCUGAAGCCUUACCCGGCGUCAAGGACAGUGAAAUUACUUGGUUGCACACAGUUUUUUUUAUUUUGUUGUCGUCACUUGUAUUUUCAUUUUUUUCAUUUUUUAAACAAAAAAAACCCCAUAGCGUGCCUCCUAGAUGUAUGAGUUUCUGUGUUUCUUUCCUAAAGACCAGCAGUUAUACUUUAUAUAAAAGAUGAGUUUGUCCUUAUUUUUUACGCCGUUAAAGAUGAAAAAAGACCUCUUUUCUUUACUCUGGACCCAGUAGCUGCACUGGUAUACAAUCGCACUAAUAGAUAAACAAAAAAAAAUAAAAAUAAAUGAAUCAAUAAUAAAUGAAAUAAGAACUACAAUAAACUUGUGUUUGGAACUUUUAUAAGAUUUACUAAAAUAAAAUAAAUUACUGUUUUUGUACAUCAAAAUCUAUUAUUUUCCCCAAAACUAUUUUGGAUCUAGUUUCUAAAUUAUUUGAGUUGUUUUCUAUGUUCUGAAAAUGUGUCGCUGUGCAGAGCAACUGUCUCUGCUGUGGUGGCAUGACGGGGCGCGGGGUUGCCUGGUGUAACCCCUCACACCCACCUUUUAUUUCUUCUACUUUUCAUUUUUGGUUCCGUCUCUUUCCCUGCUUUAGUAACUUAAAUGUUGAUGGAAUAAUAUGAACUGGGGGAAAAAAAGACUCCUUUAGAGCUAGAGUCUCCUUCCUCUCCCAUUGAAUUGCUGUUAGUGUGAUGAGACUUGAAAUGGGCAUUUAUGAUAGUAUGGCUCCAAAAAAAUACAGAAAAUGAAAAAUGUUUUUAAAAAAUGUGUGGGGAGGGAGAAAAUCUUAUAUAUAGAUGGGUUAUCAGUGGGUAUGUGAGCAAUGGCUGUGGAUAUGAUCAUGUAGUUUUAAACAUUGUUAUUACCUUUUUAAAUUCAUUUAGCCAAUAAAAAUGAAUAAAACCAUGUG
Oncorhynchus tshawytscha (Chinook salmon) is the source of this 5157-nucleotide long non-coding RNA. NCBI's taxonomy places the organism in Eukaryota, Metazoa, Chordata, Actinopteri, Salmoniformes, Salmonidae. The record is from Ensembl.